UACGUAGGUGGCAAGCGUUACUCGGAAUUACUAGGCGUAAAGCGCAGGUAGGCGGUCUGAAAAGUUUCUUGUGAAAGCUCCCGGCUCAACUGGGAGAGGCCAAGGAAAACUGUCAGGCUAGAGUGUGGCAGAGGAAGCUAGAAUUCCUGGUGUAGCGGUGAAAUGCGUAGAUAUCAGGAGGAAUACCUAUGGCGAAAAGCAGGCUUCUGGGCUAUCACUGACGCUGAUCUGCGAAAGCUAGGGGAGCAAACAGG
This 254-nucleotide ribosomal RNA is filed under the name uncultured bacterium. RNAcentral's name for it is "partial 16S ribosomal RNA". It matches the Rfam family "Bacterial small subunit ribosomal RNA", at positions 524 to 776 of the family's 1533-position model. The record is from RNAcentral.